GCGCAGCAGUCGAGAAACUUUACAAUGUGCGAAAGCACGAUAAGGGAACUCUGAGUGCCUCCUAAGGAGGCUGUUCAGGUGUCUAAAAGCACCUGAAGGAAGGGCUGGGUAAGACCGGUGCCAGCCGCCGCGGUAACACCGGCAGCCCAAGUGGUAGCCACGUUUAUUGGGUCUAAAGCGUCCGUAGCCGGCUGGGUAAGUUCCUUGGGAAAUUUGGCUGCUUAACAGUCAAGCUUUCAGGGAAUACUGCCCGGCUUGGGACCGGGAGAGGCCAGAGGUACUCCAGGGGUAGGGGUGAAAUCCAUUAAUCCUUGGGGGACCACCGGUAGCGAAGGCGUCUGACCAGACCGGGUCCGACGGUGAGGGACGAAGGCUAGGGGCGCGAACCGGAUUAGAUACCCGCGUAGU
This 408-nucleotide ribosomal RNA is filed under the name uncultured microorganism. RNAcentral's name for it is "bacterial SSU rRNA". It matches the Rfam family "Archaeal small subunit ribosomal RNA", at positions 330 to 745 of the family's 1478-position model. The record is from RNAcentral.